Molecule: transfer RNA, 85 nt
Filed under: Oscillospiraceae bacterium
Lineage: Bacteria; Bacillati; Bacillota; Clostridia; Eubacteriales; Oscillospiraceae
Also listed under: 1 other name
Description: tRNA-Leu
Rfam family: tRNA
About the family: Transfer RNA (tRNA) molecules are approximately 80 nucleotides in length. Their secondary structure includes four short double-helical elements and three loops (D, anti-codon, and T loops).
Source: RNAcentral
GCGGGUAUGGUGAAACUGGCAAACACGCUGGAUUUAGGAUCCAGUGGAGCAAUCCUUGCAGGUUCAAGUCCUGUUACCCGCACCA